CAGCACAGCUGUGUCUGCUGAACAGUUCGACUACAAAGGACUGUCCACAUCAACCUUCACACACAACGCACGCGCAGCGGCAGAGACGUCAGCGAAGCUGGCGAAGCCAUCCGACAUUCACAGAAAGCUUCGGCGUCCUGCUUUCCCGCGCAACGCCCACCUCCACUACCACUACCACCACCGCCAUCCCCUCCUCUUCCCUUAUCACGACGAAAGCGGAAGCCGUCUUCAGCGCAUGUCACUCCAGUUCACAGUGAGUGGCCCGAACAUUCGCGUGCUCCUGAGUGUUCUCACAUGCGUCAGUCGUCUCGGCGAUGCCGUGUACAUUGUGGGGCUGAGCGACGGCAUCGAGAUCAGCGCUGUGUCGCCAAGCCGCAACGGGCACAUCGCGGUGCGGGUGCACGAGCGCUGCUUUGACCGCUUCCUACUGGAGCUCCCGUCCCGCCGAAGCGGCGCUGAUGAUGGUAGCGGCCUCGCGACCUCGCAUGCAGCCGCGGAGGGUAGGGCAGACGAUGCCAGCGCUGAUGGCCCCAAGCCCUACUUGUGUCUGCUCACCAAGACGCUCGUCGCGACAGUGCUGCGGCAGCACAACACCAACGUGCAAAGCCUUGACUUUCAGUACCGCACCGCGAAGUCCUCCGACAGCGCGGCGGCGGCGGCGGCGGCGGCGAGCGACGCGGGGAACUACAGCUCUGACGCCGACCAUUGCCUUUGGAAGGGUCGCACGGACGCGGAUGUGGUGCGGUGGCACUGCACUUAUGGGCGCAGUCUCACAAAGACGUUUCUUCUCCGUCUCGCAGAGGGGGAACCGACCAGUGUCUACGCGGAUCUGUCGCGUUACCGCUUCGAGGUGUGUGGCGACGCCCGCGCGUACGGCAGUCUUCUCGCCUCGCUUCCAUCCAGCGCGAAUCAGUGUGCGUUGACGCUGCCAGAGAGCGGUGGGCUGGAGCUGCGCUCGGUGCGGCAGUCGGGGUCGUCGUCAUCGUCCUCGUCGGCAGCAGCAGCAGCAGCAAGCGGCCGCGAGAGCGGCUCAGCCGCGGCACCGUCGGGCAGCAUCAGGGCAGCAGACGGCAGCUCCACAGUGGUGACGGCGUUCGAGAGUACCUUCACCCUCUUUCGCUUCUUCGAGCGCGCCGCCUCACCAUCGGCGACAGACGCGGACGGUGCAGCAGCGGUGACGGAGUCCGGCCCUUCGGAGGUGCCGCAAGCACCGUUUCCUAAUACGCCGCCGCCGCCGCCGCAGCAGCAGCAGCAGCUGAGCCCUCGACGCAAUUCCGUGCUAUCUGCGCCGGAUCAUGCAUCAUCGGCCACCGUAACAGCCGACUUCAUUCCGCUUCCUGGCAAAACAUUCGAUGUGAAGCCCUUCAAGAACGCGGCGUGGCUUGCAGAGCAGCUCGGCGUCCAGCUGCACCUCCUCACGGGCGAGGAAAGUGUGCCGAUCAUCAUCGCGAGCAUCACGCCGGAGGAGGUGCAGAAAAGGCGCAUCACCGCCUCGGCCGACGCCGCGAGGCACGAGAGCCUACCCGGCACGGGUGGUGCAGCAGCCCGUCCGUUCUUGGUGACGAACAGCGCGCCCUCUGUCCCUGCCUCGGCCUUCGUCUCGUUCAUCCUGUACGUGGCAGCGCUGGACUCGGCGCCAAGCGGCGGCAGAGCCUCUGGCUCCGGCGGCGCGCCUGGCGGAGCCGCAGACACGAGCAUCGCAACCGCCAUCAGCUCCGCUGUCAACACGCCCCGCCCCAGCACGCACCACCGGGCGUUGAAGGGCGACGGUGGCGCUCUAGCGGCGGUGGCGGCGACGCCGAUACCAGGCCACGGCGAUGGGGAGAACGGGGAGCGCGACGGUAUGCCCGUGAGCAGCGGGAACAGCACCACGAGCGGCACCCUGUCUCACGUGGAGGCCAGCUUUGUGAGCACCAGUGCGGCCACCGCAGCUGCAGGGAUGGUGGGGCGCCUGUCCCGCGAGAGUAACAGCACCGUCGACUCUGCGUACGCGACCCCGCGACGGACUGCGUCCCCGUCGGAGUUGGUGAUGGUCAUGACCGGUGGCGACACUCCGGGCACCUGUAGCGGUGAUGCCGGCGGUGUUCACGCGGCCCGCAAAAGCGUUGACUUCCUAACGGGCGUCACGGCGUCGUCGCUGCCGGGGAACCCCACUGUAGCCAUGACAGGUGCCGCGCUGCCUUCCGCGUCACUGCCGCUCUCGCACACCCCCACAGCCACUGCUCUCAGUUCCAUGUACCCGCUCGACUUCGAAGCGUUUGUGCGCACCUACACCUCCGCCAACGAGGCGGACGAUGAGGCGGGAGAGGAAGACGCGCAGGAUGCUGAGCUGCGCGAGUUCCUUGCCAGCUGUGUCGCCUCCAUGUCGCGAGGGCCGACGCAGAACUGAACCGGCGAUGAUGAUGAGUACAGUGCGAGUGGGUGGGGAGUAAACAGGCAAAUGGUGGUGGUGCCGCGGGCAGGGAGUGCGUGGCGGCGGGCAGUGUCGCUACUCCCUCUCUCCGCCCCUCCCCCCCCUCCGUCGUCUCUGCUCGCGUGACACUGUACGCGUGCACUUGGAUGGCUCGCACGCGCAUGCAGAC
This 2582-nucleotide unclassified non-coding RNA is filed under the name Leishmania donovani. Its description in RNAcentral is "gene:LdHU3.15.1330(CDS-product:DNA_repair_protein _Rad9_putative)". The record is from RNAcentral. Lineage: Eukaryota; Euglenozoa; Kinetoplastea; Trypanosomatida; Trypanosomatidae.